UUUUUUUUUUUUUUUUUUGUCUUUUUGCCAUUUCUUGGGCCGCUCCCCAAAAAAAAANCCAACAGGUGUCAAUGCAAGGUUGGUGGUGCCUUUUGGUUAUUCUUUGUGCUAAAGUGAGACACUGGCAGGCAGAAUACAUGUGGAUAAAUGUGGCAGAUUAUAUCCUAUAAUCUUUGCUGAAUGAAGGUGAAGAAAAGGUAUAAAUCUACAAAGGCAAAGAAAAACGGAGAGAAAGUGACACCACAAUACAUGAAGAGUGGGGGGUUGAGUGCUGUCUUGGCAGAGUGGAUAAUGAUGCCCACAGAAGGGAAAGCUAAGAAGAAACAGGCCAGCUUGCAUCCAAAAAUAAUCAGAAGGCUCAGGAAUUGGAGGCACCAAUCAACUCUCAAAGCUGAGAGAGUAGGAAAAACAUAGGAGGAUAAGCUAAAGAUUUUCUCAGGAGGUCUUUUUUCCCAAUCCAAACCGCCAGACAGCUGUUCCUCUUCUGCUCCAGCAGGAAAUAGGAGAUUUAAUCCCUGAGUAAUUGAACCAGAGAGAAUUCAGAUUGAAGGGAUAGCAGGAAACAGCAGAGAACAGCCUGAACUGAAUGGAAAAUAGGGGAUAAGGUCUAAGUGUCCUUACUGGGUGGCUCCUAAGAUACUGACCUAUAUAUCCCUCCAAGAAUGAGAUUAGAACAUUGCUCCAGAUGCAUAGACUUCCCCAAAGGGAAAGUCACAGAUUCUGACCUAUGGGGAAUCCACUGGUGAAAUGGUUGGUCCCUGCUUGCACACCCCAAAAUGAAACCAGCAUCCAGUAAACCCUUCAUUUCACUUGGGCAUAGAAAUCCCAAUCACUUUAUAGUGCCUUUUCCACGAGUGAAUAGAUGGCCAAAGAUCAGCAGGAAUAAAUUAUACCCUAGAAUUGAUAACCUAAGGGAGAUAAGAUAGAACAGCUAUGGAAUAAGACCAGAAUGUUAUCAAGGGGAACACAGUAGAAAUAAAAGAGAGAACGGGGUCAUAAGAUCAAAUUGGGGAAACUGUACAGAAAGUAUAACAAAAAGACAAAAAUAUAGAAAAUAGAGAAAAUGCUGCAAAAAUUAGAGGAUUAAACCAGGCAGUCCAGCGUCUGACUAAAACAAGUGUUCAUAGGAUUUUUUUGCCAUAUACCUCUCUGACAAUCUGGUGAACCCUACAGACCCCUUCUCAGAAUAAUGUUUUAAAGUGCAUAAAAUAUACAGGAGUACAAAGGAAGCAAUUACAUUAAAAUAUGGUUGUUAAAAUGUUAGAAAGCCAAAUAGUGAUACUGUAAUAUAUGCUUUUAUGAGCACAUUAAAAGCAAGAUCUAGAGGUGGAUGUAUUGUAAUUUUGAAGUCAUGAUGAGCAUAAAAGAUAUUUUACAAUACCUGCAUUGAUGUGAUGUAAGCUGCUGGGCUGAGAUCAUUUUAGACAGGGCAUCUCUAGAAGACAAAAACCUAGAAAAUUUCCAAGGGCCUCUUUUUUGCUGCCUGGGGAUCCCUAGUCUUGGUAUCACCUCUAGAAGCCAUUUCCAAAUUCUCUCUUUUAUCCCUUCCAAGAGCUCUUUCCUAGGCCCUUGCUUUUGGUAGCAAAGUAAGCUACUGAUGUUCUCUUUUCUUGCCUCCAUGUGGUCCUGGCGCAGCCAUCAAUCAUGCUGCCUGGCCUCUCUCAUCACACUGUUGAGCCAAGAAUAGUGUCACAUCCCUGGACAGAGCAACUUAUCCAAAGGAUGAAUUCACAGAAUCCAAGCUGGUUGGGGACCCGCUAUGGAAUCUUCUGAUUGGAGGGGGAAAGUUAGUUUUUCUUAUUUUUAUUUUAUUAAUUUAUUUUUCUUUUUAUGGAUGCACCUGUGGUAUAUGGAAGUUACUAGGCUAGGGGUUGAAUUGGAACUGCAGCUGCGGCCUAUGCUGUAGCUUGUGCUAAUGCCAGAUCCUUGACCCACUGAGCAAGGGCCAGUAAUGGAACCUGCAUCCUCAAGGACACCAUGUCACGUUCCUAACCCACUGAGCCACAAGAGGAACUCCAAGGCUAUUUUUUCUUAAUUUUAAAUAAGGGAUUGUGUCUGGAUUUGUUAAGAGCUGUUUUCUCUGAUGUAUGGUGAGAAGUAGACACAGUGAGAUCCAAUGAGAUUCAAAGAGAGAGAAAGGGAAGGAGGAGGGAGAGGGAAAAGAAAGUAAGAUGAACGUAUUUGAGAUUCAGAUAUGAGGAGAGAAGGAAGUGGGAGGAGAGGAGAAAGGCAUUUUCUAGGUCUUAAGUGGGUUUGCACUUUCUGUCCUAGAAUUUUAGUUUCUGAAACUCUUCUUUCCAGUUUGUGAGUCACUGCAGUAUCCUUCCCGUCCAUGAAAGCCAAUAAUUCCUUUCUUGCUUAAGUCAAUUUCAGUUGACAUUCUGUAUCGUGCAACCCAAAGGGUUCAACUACCUGUCUGUUGCCUGCAGGGCAUUGUCAGGUGUCAGGAUUUGCUUUUAGAACCCCGCUUUCUUCCUGUUGAGGCCUCUGCUGCCCCAGAGAACACAGCACCCUCCAAUCUUCCCAGCAUCUUUCUUGGGGUUCUUCUCAGGCACACUCUCCAUAGAGCUCUGCCUGAACCAUCUUCUCUGAUUCUAAACUGUCAUUUGUUCAUUUAUUUAACAACUGUUUAUUGAGCAUAAACGUGGUGGAAACACAGCAACCAGUAGAGUAGAAAUAUAAAGAUAUAUCUAAGAAUCAGUGUAAAAAGGUAAUUCAUUUCCUAAACUAAAAGCUAUGAGAGAUCAAAGGAAGGAAUGGCCAUUGCAAAGGCUCUGUGGGUAAUAUAGAUGGGCUGAGAAGUGGGAUUGGGACAGUAGAAUAGAAGGAAGAUGUGCGAGCUCAGUGGAGAGUGUGAAGCUCCAGAAGGAGGGGUGCAGACAAUCAUAGCAGAAGCUGUACUUUCACAGCGCUCUGGGGAGGCUUGAGCAAGGUGCUGAAGAUGCCCAUCCUCUUGUGGCCCCACUCUCCAGUUCAUCUCAGCUUGAGUGUUAAUGCCUAGAGGAGAGCUUUACACACCAAUAUCGUAAUAGUACGAGGAGUUUUCAGUCCUCUAACCUGGGGACUGGCUAAGGGAGUAGUUUCAGGCCUGGGAAGAUAGGGGAGCCUGUUGCCCUGGGAACCUGGGAGGCUUGUCAUCAUCCUGCACAGUGCUCCUUCCACACCAAGGCUGGCGCUGUCUGCUGCCUCUGUGUAGCACCUGUCCAGGUAUGGGUGAAGUCAGAGACCUCCUGAAGAAGGUGGUUGGCAGUGUGCCUGCCUUCCUGGGAAAAACCCUGCUCUCUGCCUCUCCCCUUUUUCUAACUGGAAUUUUCCACAAGAAGGUGGCAGUAUGGCUUUUUCCCCAUUGAUACUACUUCUUGGCACCAAUUCAUUGGGCUGAGAUGAGUUGGCUUCCCAUGAGAUAAGGAAGAGAACUGUGUUUUUAUCUGGUCCUGGGAAGGAAAGACUCAACCUAUUUCUUCCCAGAAAACUUUCCUCUGUAGAAUAAUUUGAUGCAGGUAGAUCAGAUCACUUUACCAACUUCUCUUGAAACUAAACCAUCCUGGACAAACAGAGUAUAGAAGUUUUUUGUUGUUGUUCUUUUUUUUUUUUUUUAAACUUUGUUACUCUUAGAGUUUCAAGGAGACAGUGAAAGCAGUUUUAAAAUAAUUCAAAUAAUCUAACCGUCUUCCUUCAGUCCAAACUGAACUGUAGCAAAUAUGAACCUAUUAAAUAUCCUCUGCCCCCAUCUGAAUUUUCAAGCCCUGGAAAUUGGUUAUUUUAUGUCUUUGCCUGAAAUGACACUUUCAAGUGUUAAAAGUAAAAGGAGUGCCUUUAAGGUCCAGCAGAAGAUCCUUCUUAUCAGGAAGGCUUCCUGACCAUGCCAUUCUUCCUUCACAUCUACCUGAGAAUCAAGUACAGUGAUGAUGAUGAGGAGGAUGGCGAUGAGGAGGUGGAUGGCAAUGAUGACUAUGAUGAUAAAUACAAUCAACUGACAGCCUGCUGUGGCCUAGGAGCUCUGUGUGCAUUAUCUCAUUGUAAUCCCCCCAAAGGCCCCAUGAUGCCAGAGUAAUAAUAAUGAUAAUAGUUAUAAUGAUGAUAACAAUGAAACUAGAGGAAGAUUUAUCAGAAAGUUAAAAAACCUUCAAUUUUAAGUUUUAAGAUUCCUUACUUGCAUUACCCCCAUUCAAGGAUGUAGAAGAAGCCCUGACAAUGUUUACAUGGUCACAUGUUUUGUAAAUUUUGCAGAGGUAAAAUAUUUUAAUCUGUUAGUUAAGAGUGUUAUUAUCUCUUUUUGUGCUAACACCCCCUCUGUCACCAUCCUCUUGUAUUAGUAGCUCUGCAGUGGCUAUGGGUAUCUUCAGGAUGCACCUAAGGAGAAGUUGAUUUGAGGAUGCAUUUGUUUGAGUGUACUGGGUGCCACUUAAGAGGUGUUCAGUUAAUUCAUAAUCUAGUUAAGUUGUGGCAUCCAGGGAUAGACCCACUAUCCUCUAGACCAAGUCACCCAGUAUAAAGAAACAGGGAUACCAAGGACAAGGACUUAGUGAGUGCUGAUCUUUCAAAGGGUAUCUAAGAUUAGUCACUUCACAAGAAAAUCUGAAAUGCCCUGAGAUAUUAGCUCAUAUGUAAAACAUACUUAUCAGAAGUUUUUCUGUAUUUGACCAUAAUCCUAAAAUUUAAGUUAUCAUUACAAGUAAGUUAUAAAGCAAAAGAAACUUUUCUGGGCUAUCAAAAAUAAAAAAGGACAGGGAGUUACCGUUUGGCUCAGUGGUAAUGAACCUGACUAGAAUCCAUGAAGAUGGGGGUUCAAUCCCUGGCCUCACUCAGUGGAUUAAGGAUCUGGCAUUCUCCCAACAGAAAAGGGACAGGUAACCAGGUGUUUUGCUCCUUCCCUAGGCAGGCCUACGCCCUAUCUCAGCAGAAAGUAGCUACUGAAAGGUUAUCACCCAAUAUCCCUUUUAAGCAUAAAGGGGUGAAACACCUGAAUGAUAGGGAUGGAGUAGACACAGAUAAUUGUAGAAGCCCCGAUAAAGAACCAUAUUUAAAGAGGGAAACUUAAGGGACAUUAGGAGAUCUCUGUAAGUAAAUAAAUUGCUCAAAAAGCCAUCAGAGCAAGGCAGGUUUGCUUCAUUAGUGGAGCCUUGAGAAUUGCCUCAGGUCAUUGGGUGGGAGAUGGGAUUAGGCCUGCAUUCAUAUUCGGACUAAGGACAAGAGUUUGAGGAGCACCCUUCUUUGGAUUUGAAUACACCCUACCAGAUACUAAGGAAGAGCUGCUACUCCCAGAAAGGAAGAGAUGGGAUUUUCCAACCCCCACUCCCCUUGGAUGAUAAAAACUGUAGCCCACUGGAUCCUUGGGGCAGUGCUUGCCUGCUUGCAUCUUUCACAAGGGUCCUAUCCUAAUAAAUCUGUUUCUUGCCUAAAAAAAAAAAAAAAAGCAGGAUCUGGCAUUGCCGUGAGCUGCAGUGUAGGUCACAGAUGCAGCUAGAAUUCUGCAUUGCUGUGGCUGUGAUGUAGGCUCGCAGCUGCAGCUCUGAUUGGACCCUAGCCUGAGAAUUUCCAUAUGCCACAGGUGUGGCCCUAAAAAGACAAAAAAAUUAAAAAAAAAUUUUUAGAAGAAACGUAAAUCAACCAUACUUUAAUUAAAAA
This 5628-nucleotide long non-coding RNA is filed under the name Sus scrofa (pig). RNAcentral's name for it is "lncRNA (ENSSSCG00060070127.1)". The record is from RNAcentral. Lineage: Eukaryota; Metazoa; Chordata; Mammalia; Artiodactyla; Suidae.